AAAGGGAUGCAAAGCCGCGAGGCAGAGCGAACCCCAAAAAGCCGUCCCAGUUCGGAUCGCAGGCUGCAACCCGCCUGCGUGAAGUCGGAAUCGCUAGUAAUCGCGGAUCAGCAUGCCGCGGUGAAUACGUUCCCGGGCCUUGUACACACCGCCCGUCACACCAUGAGAGUCGGGAACACCCGAAGUCCGUAGCCUAACCGCAAGGAGGGCGCGGCCGAAGGUGGGUUCGAUAAUUGGGGUGAAGUCGUAACAAGGUAAC
This 259-nucleotide ribosomal RNA is filed under the name uncultured bacterium. RNAcentral's name for it is "partial 16S ribosomal RNA". It matches the Rfam family "Bacterial small subunit ribosomal RNA", at positions 1241 to 1500 of the family's 1533-position model. The record is from RNAcentral.